RNAcentral lists this long non-coding RNA (677 nucleotides) under Androctonus crassicauda. Lineage: Eukaryota; Metazoa; Arthropoda; Arachnida; Scorpiones; Buthidae. The record is from RNAcentral.
GAAGACUGUUAGCCCCUCCUUCCAGUAAAGCAAUACCCGGAUGUCAAUGUUUUGUUUAGGUUUUGAAACUGGUGUAUACUGCUCCUACUGCCACAUUGCUCUGAUUCAAUGAAUGUUUCACUCUUUUCAUGAUGCAUUUAAUUUGUAUUGUGUUGUUAAUUUUAAAAAGAAUAAAGAAAGUACAACACAGAGGAUUUGGGCCCUCUAUAACUCUGGGCCCCCCGCAUUGCGGGGUCUGGAGCAUUGUAGUUCUGCCACUGGUAAUUAGGAACGUUUUACCAGUUCUUCCUGGCGCAUCUAAGAUUUCUCCAACCCCGUUAUUAACAGUUUAUUUGAUAAAUGCCUUUCUUAUUUGAUCGUAAAUGCCUUUUUGCUCAAGCGUUAGCUUAGAAAUGUUUGAUUGCACAUAUGACAAAAGAUCACCCGUUGUAAUUUUGUACACGACGCAAUUCUACAUCGAACGAAGUAGCAGCAGACGGAUUCGGUGAUGGCAUUCCCAAUCACGUAUUUUCACGUGACAUAGUAAGUUACGUGAUGUAGUGAAAAUAUUUCGGAAGCCAUACUAACAAGUCUAUAGGAAGAAGCUCAGAAUUGAUUUUCGUUUCAUAUACAACAUAUCAAAAAUAAUAAGAGUGAAAUAUGCCAACUUCAUGUUCUGCUUAUGGUUGUACGAACAG